This 339-nucleotide unclassified non-coding RNA is filed under the name soil metagenome. Its description in RNAcentral is "partial contains 5.8S ribosomal RNA, internal transcribed spacer 2, and large subunit ribosomal RNA". The stretch from base 1 to 120 matches the Rfam family "5.8S ribosomal RNA", at positions 35 to 154 of the family's 154-position model. The record is from RNAcentral.
GAUGAAGAACGCAGCGAAAUGCGAUACGUAGUGUGAAUUGCAGAAUUCAGUGAAUCAUUGAAUCUUUGAACGCACAUUGCACCUCUCGGUAUUCCGGGAGGUAUGCCUGUUCGAGCGUCAUUUGUACCCUCAAGCUCUGCUUGGUGUUGGGUGUUUGUUCCGCCUCUGUGUGUGAACUCGCCUCAAAACAAUUGGCAGCCGGCGUACUUGUUUCGGAGCGCAGCACAUUUUGCGAUCCAGAUCAACGUACAGCGGCAUCCAAGAAGCCUUAUUUAACGCUCUUGACCUCGGAUCAGGUAGGGAUACCCGCUGAACUUAAGCAUAUCAAUAAGCGGAGGA